UACGUAGGUGGCAAGCGUUGUCCGGAUUUAUUGGGCGUAAAGAGCGUGUAGGCGGCCAAGUAGGUCCGGUGUGAAAACUCGAGGCUUAACCUCGAGAUGUCAUCGGAAACCAUUUGGCUAGAGUCCGGAAGAGGAAAGUGGAAUUCCUGGUGUAGCGGUGAAAUGCGCAGAUAUCAGGAAGAACACCAAUGGCGAAAGCAGCUUACUAGGCUGUAACUGACGCUGAGGCACGAAAGUGUGGGGAUCAAACAGG
Molecule: ribosomal RNA, 253 nt
Filed under: uncultured bacterium
Lineage: Bacteria
Description: partial 16S ribosomal RNA
Rfam family: Bacterial small subunit ribosomal RNA
Source: RNAcentral